GGUUAAGCGACUAAGCGUACACGGUGGAUGCCCUGGCAGUCAGAGGCGAUGAAGGACGUGCUAAUCUGCGAAAAGCGUCGGUAAGGUGAUAUGAACCGUUACAGCCGGCGAUGUCCGAAUGGGGAAACCCAGUGCAAUUCGUUGCACUAUCGUUAACUGAAUACAUAGGUUAACGAGGCGAACCGGGGGAACUGAAACAUCUAAGUACCCCGAGGAAAAGAAAUCAACCGAGAUUCCCCCAGUAGCGGCGAGCGAACGGGGAGCAGCCCAGAGUCUGAAUCAGCUUGUGUGUUAGUGGAACGGUCUGGAAAGUCCGACGGUACAGGGUGAUAGUCCCGUACACCAAAAUGCACAGGUUGUGAACUCGAAGAGUAGGGCGGGACACGUGGUAUCCUGUCUGAAUAUGGGGGGACCAUCCUCCAAGGCUAAAUACUCCUGACUGACCGAUAGUGAACCAGUACCGUGAGGGAAAGGCGAAAAGAACCCCGGCGAGGGGAGUGAAAAAGAACCUGAAACCGUGUACGUACAAGCAGUGGGAGCACCUUCGGGUGUGACUGCGUACCUUUUGUAUAAUGGGUCAGCGACUUAUAUUCUGUAGCAAGGUUAACCGUAUAGGGGAGCCGCAGGGAAACCGAGUCUUAACUGGGCGUUAAGUUGCAGGGUAUAGACCCGAAACCCGGUGAUCUAGCCAUGGGCAGGUUGAAGGUUGGGUAACACUAACUGGAGGACCGAACCGACUAAUGUUGAAAAAUUAGCGGAUGACUUGUGGCUGGGGGUGAAAGGCCAAUCAAACCGGGAGAUAGCUGGUUCUCCCCGAAAGCUAUUUAGGUAGCGCCUCGUGAACUCAUCUUCGGGGGUAGAGCACUGUUUCGGCUAGGGGGUCAUCCCGACUUACCAACCCGAUGCAAACUACGAAUACCGAAGAAUGUUAUCACGGGAGACACACGGCGGGUGCUAACGUCCGUCGUGAAGAGGGAAACAACCCAGACCGCCAGCUAAGGUCCCAAAGUCAUGGUUAAGUGGGAAACGAUGUGGGAAGGCACAGACAGCCAGGAUGUUGGCUUAGAAGCAGCCAUCAUUUAAAGAAAGCGUAAUAGCUCACUGGUCGAGUCGGCCUGCGCGGAAGAUGUAACGGGGCUAAACCAUGCACCGAAGCUGCGGCAGCGACACUAUGUGUUGUUGGGUAGGGGAGCGUUCUGUAAGCCUGCGAAGGUGUGCUGUGAGGCAUGCUGGAGGUAUCAGAAGUGCGAAUGCUGACAUAAGUAACGAUAAAGCGGGUGAAAAGCCCGCUCGCCGGAAGACCAAGGGUUCCUGUCCAACGUUAAUCGGGGCAGGGUGAGUCGACCCCUAAGGCGAGGCCGAAAGGCGUAGUCGAUGGGAAACAGGUUAAUAUUCCUGUACUUGGUGUUACUGCGAAGGGGGGACGGAGAAGGCUAUGUUAGCCGGGCGACGGUUGUCCCGGUUUAAGCAUGUAGGCUGGUUGUCCAGGCAAAUCCGGAUAAUCAAGGCUGAGGUGUGAUGACGAGGCACUACGGUGCUGAAGUAACAAAUGCCCUGCUUCCAGGAAAAGCCUCUAAGCAUCAGGUAACAUCAAAUCGUACCCCAAACCGACACAGGUGGUCAGGUAGAGAAUACCAAGGCGCUUGAGAGAACUCGGGUGAAGGAACUAGGCAAAAUGGUGCCGUAACUUCGGGAGAAGGCACGCUGGUGUGUAGGUGAAGUCCCUGCGGAUGGAGCUGAGACCAGUCGAAGAUACCAGCUGGCUGCAACUGUUUAUUAAAAACACAGCACUGUGCAAACACGAAAGUGGACGUAUACGGUGUGACGCCUGCCCGGUGCCGGAAGGUUAAUUGAUGGGGUUAUCCGUAAGGAGAAGCUCUUGAUCGAAGCCCCGGUAAACGGCGGCCGUAACUAUAACGGUCCUAAGGUAGCGAAAUUCCUUGUCGGGUAAGUUCCGACCUGCACGAAUGGCGUAAUGAUGGCCAGGCUGUCUCCACCCGAGACUCAGUGAAAUUGAACUCGCUGUGAAGAUGCAGUGUACCCGCGGCAAGACGGAAAGACCCCGUGAACCUUUACUAUAGCUUGACACUGAACAUUGAGCCUUGAUGUGUAGGAUAGGUGGGAGGCUUUGAAGCGUGGACGCCAGUCUGCGUGGAGCCAACCUUGAAAUACCACCCUUUAAUGUUUGAUGUUCUAACGUUGGCCCCUGACCGGGGUUGCGGACAGUGUCUGGUGGGUAGUUUGACUGGGGCGGUCUCCUCCCAAAGCGUAACGGAGGAGCACGAAGGUUAGCUAAUCCUGGUCGGACAUCAGGAGGUUAGUGCAAUGGCAUAAGCUAGCUUGACUGCGAGCGUGACGGCGCGAGCAGGUGCGAAAGCAGGUCAUAGUGAUCCGGUGGUUCUGAAUGGAAGGGCCAUCGCUCAACGGAUAAAAGGUACUCCGGGGAUAACAGGCUGAUACCGCCCAAGAGUUCAUAUCGACGGCGGUGUUUGGCACCUCGAUGUCGGCUCAUCACAUCCUGGGGCUGAAGUAGGUCCCAAGGGUAUGGCUGUUCGCCAUUUAAAGUGGUACGCGAGCUGGGUUUAGAACGUCGUGAGACAGUUCGGUCCCUAUCUGCCGUGGGCGCUGGAGAAUUGAGGGGGGCUGCUCCUAGUACGAGAGGACCGGAGUGGACGCAUCACUGGUGUUCGGGUUGUCAUGCCAAUGGCACUGCCCGGUAGCUAAAUGCGGAAGAGAUAAGUGCUGAAAGCAUCUAAGCACGAAACUUGCCCCGAGAUGAGUUCUCCCUGAGACUUUAAGUCUCCUGAAGGAACGUUGAAGACGACGACGUUGAUAGGCCGGGUGUGUAAGCGCAGCGAUGCGUUGAGCUAACCGGUACUAAUGAACCGUGAGGCUUAACCUUAC
Molecule: ribosomal RNA, 2904 nt
Filed under: Klebsiella pneumoniae subsp. pneumoniae MGH 78578
Lineage: Bacteria; Pseudomonadati; Pseudomonadota; Gammaproteobacteria; Enterobacterales; Enterobacteriaceae
Description: bacterial LSU rRNA
Rfam family: Bacterial large subunit ribosomal RNA
Source: RNAcentral